GACGAACGCUGGCGGCGUGCCUAAUACAUGCAAGUUGAGCGAUGAAGAUUGGUGCUUGCACCAAUUUGAAGAGCAGCGAACGGGUGAGUAACGCGUGGGGAAUCUGCCUUUGAGCGGGGGACAACAUUUGGAAACGAAUGCUAAUACCGCAUAAUAACUUUAAACAUAAGUUUUAAGUUUGAAAGAUGCAAUUGCAUCACUCAAAGAUGAUCCCGCGUUGUAUUAGCUAGUUGGUGAGGUAAAGGCUCACCAAGGCGAUGAUACAUAGCCGACCUGAGAGGGUGAUCGGCCACAUUGGGACUGAGACACGGCCCAAACUCCUACGGGAGGCAGCAGUAGGGAAUCUUCGGCAAUGGACGAAAGUCUGACCGAGCAACGCCGCGUGAGUGAAGAAGGUUUUCGGAUCGUAAAACUCUGUUGGUAGAGAAGAACGUUGGUGAGAGUGGAAAGCUCAUCAAGUGACGGUAACUAUCCAGAAAGGGACGGCUAACUACGUG
RNAcentral lists this ribosomal RNA (497 nucleotides) under uncultured bacterium. Its description in RNAcentral is "partial 16S ribosomal RNA". It matches the Rfam family "Bacterial small subunit ribosomal RNA", at positions 28 to 507 of the family's 1533-position model. The record is from RNAcentral.